This 275-nucleotide non-coding RNA is filed under the name bovine gut metagenome. The record is from RNAcentral.
UAACAGUUUGAACAGAUCCUUUACCAAAAGAUUUUUCGCCUAAAAUAAUGGCUCGAUGAUGAUCUUGAAGAGCCCCAGCCACAAUCUCUGAAGCAGAUGCAGACCCCUCAUUGAUAAGAACAACCAUAGGUAAACCGUUUGAUAUAUCUCCUUGUUCUGCAGAAUACUUAAUGGUAUCUGCUUCAUCACGGGAUCUUGUUGAGACAAUUUCGCCUUGUUCUAGAAAUAAAUCUGAAACAGCAACAGCUUGAUCUAAAAGACCUCCAGGGUUGUUU